This 72-nucleotide transfer RNA is filed under the name Microcaecilia dermatophaga (tiny white caecilian). RNAcentral describes it as "tRNA-Lys". It matches the Rfam family "tRNA". From Rfam's summary of the family: Transfer RNA (tRNA) molecules are approximately 80 nucleotides in length. Their secondary structure includes four short double-helical elements and three loops (D, anti-codon, and T loops). Further hydrogen bonds mediate the characteristic L-shaped molecular structure. tRNAs have two regions of fundamental functional importance: the anti-codon, which is responsible for specific mRNA codon recognition, and the 3' end, to which the tRNAs corresponding amino acid is attached (by aminoacyl-tRNA synthetases). tRNAs cope with the degeneracy of the genetic code in two manners: having more than one tRNA (with a specific anti-codon) for a particular amino acid; and 'wobble' base-pairing, i.e. permitting non-standard base-pairing at the 3rd anti-codon position. The record is from RNAcentral. Lineage: Eukaryota; Metazoa; Chordata; Amphibia; Gymnophiona; Siphonopidae.
CACUGAGUAGCUAUUAAGGUAAAGCAUUAGCCUUUUAAGCUAAUACAGGUGCCCACCACCCACCCUCAGUGA